RNAcentral lists this ribosomal RNA (406 nucleotides) under uncultured bacterium. RNAcentral describes it as "partial 16S ribosomal RNA". It matches the Rfam family "Bacterial small subunit ribosomal RNA", at positions 29 to 526 of the family's 1533-position model. The record is from RNAcentral.
AUUGAACGCUGGCGGCAGGCCUAACACAUGCAAGUCGAGCGAGCGGCGGACGGGUGAGUAAUGUCUGGGGAACUGCCCGAUGGAGGGGGAUAACUACUGGAAACGGUGGCUAAUACCGCAUACUAUCGGAUGUACCCAUAUGGGAUUAGCUUGUAGGUGGGGUAACGGCUCACCUAGGCGACGAUCCCUAGCUGGUCUGAGAGGAGGAGCAGCCACACUGGUACUGAGACACGGGCCAGACUCCUACGGGAGGCAGCAGUGGGGAAUAUUGCACAAGGGGCGCAAGCCUGAUGCAGCCAGGCCGCGUGUAUGAAGAAGGCCUUAGGGUUGUAAAGUACUUGCAGCGGGGAGGCGUUACCCGCAGAAGAAGCACCGGCUAACUCCGUGCCAGCAGCCGCGGUAAUAC